Molecule: ribosomal RNA, 594 nt
Filed under: uncultured bacterium
Lineage: Bacteria
Description: bacterial SSU rRNA
Rfam family: Bacterial small subunit ribosomal RNA
Source: RNAcentral
AACGCUGGCGGCAGGCCUAACACAUGCAAGUCGAGCGCCCCGCAAGGGGAGCGGCAGACGGGAGAGUAACACGUGGGAACGUACCCUUCAGUUCGGAACAACCCAGGGAAACUUGGGCUAAUACCGAAUACGUCCGUAAGGAGAAAGAUUUAUCGCUGAGGGAUCGGCCCGCGUCUGAUUAGCUUGUUGGUGAGGUAACGGCUCACCAAGGCGACGAUCAGUAGCUGGUCUGAGAGGAUGAUCAGCCUCACUGGGACUGAGACACGGCCCAGACUCCUACGGGAGGCAGCAGUGGGGAAUAUUGGACAAUGGGCGCAAGCCUGAUCCAGCCAUGCCGCGUGGAUGAUGAAGGCCCUAGGGUUGUAAAGUCCUUUCGGCGGGGAAGAUAAUGACGGUACCCGCAGAAGAAGCCCCGGCUAACUUCGUGCCAGCAGCCGCGGUAAUACGAAGGGGGCUAGCGUUGCUCGGAAUCACUGGGCGUAAAGCGCACGUAGGCGGCUUUCUAAGUCAGAGGUGAAAUCCUGGAGCUCAACUCCAGAACUGCCUUUGAUACUGGAAGGCUUGAGUCCGGGAGAGGUGAGUGGAACUGCGAGU